This 216-nucleotide long non-coding RNA is filed under the name Elaeis guineensis (African oil palm). RNAcentral's name for it is "long non-coding RNA (EGUI_LNC069816)". The record is from RNAcentral. Lineage: Eukaryota; Viridiplantae; Streptophyta; Magnoliopsida; Arecales; Arecaceae.
AGGAAGCCGGGUCCCCUUAGGGCUCUUUUUGUCCUUCCAUCUUUCCAUGUAUAUAUCUUUUCUUUUGUUGUUUUUUCUUGUUCUUGUUGUUUUGCUUUCCUUCUUUUAGCCUGCUGGGCUUUGUAGUGUAUAUUUUGUGGAUGAAAUGAAAAGGAGAUUUUGUGUUACCUCAUCCACGUGUCGCAUUAAAUCGUCGUCCGCCAAACUUCUUUCGUC